This 253-nucleotide ribosomal RNA is filed under the name uncultured bacterium. Its description in RNAcentral is "partial 16S ribosomal RNA". It matches the Rfam family "Bacterial small subunit ribosomal RNA", at positions 524 to 776 of the family's 1533-position model. The record is from RNAcentral.
UACGAGGGGGGCUAGCGUUGCUCGGAAUCACUGGGCGUAAAGCGCACGUAGGCGGAUUCUUAAGUCGGUGGUGAAAGCCUGGAGCUCAACUCCAGAACUGCCUUCGAUACUGAGAGUCUUGAGUCCGGGAGAGGUGAGUGGAACUGCGAGUGUAGAGGUGAAAUUCGUAGAUAUUCGCAAGAACACCAGUGGCGAAGGCGGCUCACUGGCCCGGUACUGACGCUGAGGUGCGAAAGCGUGGGGAGCAAACAGG